RNAcentral lists this long non-coding RNA (214 nucleotides) under Elaeis guineensis (African oil palm). RNAcentral describes it as "long non-coding RNA (EGUI_LNC012766)". The record is from RNAcentral. Lineage: Eukaryota; Viridiplantae; Streptophyta; Magnoliopsida; Arecales; Arecaceae.
AUGGCCUCUCCAUCUUCAUUUUUUUUCCUAAAAGAAGAGACUUUCUCCACAAAUAGAAUGACCAAAGGUCCCUAAAGCAUGCCAGUAGUGCUUUUUUUCCUUCCUUUGGAAGUCGAGUCCUAUCAUGACUCCAUCCCCAUCUCUCUCUCUUUCUCUCUUUUAGGAUAAUAUAAGGAAAGAGACUUCCUCUAUAGGCAUUAUUGAUUGGAGGGGG